UACAGAGGGUGCGAGCGUUAAUCGGAAUGACUGGGCGUAAAGGGCGCGUAGGCGGUUAUGUAAGUGAGAUGUGAAAUCCCUGGGCUUAACCUAGGAAGGUCAUCUCAUACUGUAUAGCUAGAGUAUUGUAGAGGGUAGUGGAAUUUCCGGUGUAGCGGUGAAAUGCGUAGAGAUCGGAAGGAACACCAGUGGCGAAGGCGGCUACCUGGACAAAUACUGACGCUGAUGCGCGAGAGCGUGGGGAGCAAACAGG
Molecule: ribosomal RNA, 253 nt
Filed under: uncultured bacterium
Lineage: Bacteria
Description: partial 16S ribosomal RNA
Rfam family: Bacterial small subunit ribosomal RNA
Source: RNAcentral